UGAACACUGGUUCGGGUUCAGAGACUGAAGUAGGAAUUAUGACUUUUUAUUGGGCUGGCUGCUCUCAAUUUCUUCUUUAAUACACUUGAUUUCUUUUAAGUUUUCCAUUAGUACCUUUGUUGAUUGUCCAUGUGUCCAUGCAUCUUGCCCCUAGGAAUGCUUUGUACCAAAUAUAUCCAUAGCUGUCUUUAGUUCAGCCCCCCUUGAAUGCUACUCUAAUAUCUUUAUUAUAAUUGCACUCAUUUUGUCUGAUGCCUAAGCACUGGCACUUAGCCUCUGUUAGUUAAUAUACUAUAAUCCAAUAGUUCCCAAACUCUGCCAAUAUUAGAAUCACUUGGUAAAUUAAAAAAAAAUCCUGAUGCCCACUUUGCAACCUGUCCCAAUUAAACCACAAUAUUUGGAUGGAAACCAGGCAUCAAUCAUUUUUAAUGAUGCCCAGGUGCAGCAAAGUUUGUAAACUCCUGCUAUAAUCCAUACUGCUAUUUGAAGCCCAGUUUUGUAACAGAAUAUCCUACUACCAGACACCAGUAAACCUCUCCAUGAUGCUGGUAUUCUGCUUACAAAAACAUUGCUCAUCCCUUUGGUAAGUAGUACGUCCUCCAGGUCCUCUGAUGGAAUGUAUCCAGCUGAUUGGUUUUUCAUGUCUUUCAUAGACUAUCUGCUUACCAUGCCCAUUUCUCCGAGUAAUUUGAUUGCUUGUUCUACCAUCUACAACAGCUAUUCUGAAAUUUCUACUUUACUUAGUGUGAGCCAUCCCUUCCUCCAAACUUCUAGGAGCUAUAUUCCAGCAGCAUGUUAUUCUAAUUUUCUGAGGUCCUUGCUAGGGUGUUAAAACCUGUAGUAGAGAAAACUGUUCUCCAAUGAUAAAAUCUCCUUCAUUCAACUUAAUGUUCUGCACCUUUCCCCCACAUUGACUCAACACCUUCAGGAUCCAGUUCCAUAGAUACUUUUAGUUCCUACUAGUACACAUUGGCUAGGUCCUGCAGCUCCUUCAACAUAUCAUCCCUUUUCUCCCUUAGUGUGUCCGACAUUUCUCUAGCUUGGCUAAAUUGUGACAUGAUCCAAGUUACUGGUCUGGCAGCAGGGAGAAAAGAGGUGGGUAGAUCCCAGUUGGGGAGGAGAAGGAGGGCUGUGUUGUCUUGCAAGGCAGAGGCCUCUGUAUUGUUUUCAGCCACAGGGGAAGUGCUCAGCUUUGAAAGGGAAAAGUAAAACCACUUCUAUAUGUCCAAAAGGGUGAGGAGACUCUGGGAUUUCAAGGCUCUUAAGUGCAUGAAUCAGACAUUCCUAUUGCAGUCUCAGGGCCCUAGCUCUUCCUAACCAUUGCCCCUACUUUGGCCAGCAGACUGGCUGGAAAUGAGAAUUCAACCUUCCCAGUGCUCCACGAUACUUAACUGAGCCAUGAACCAAAGGCUCAGCUUGUUAUGCCCUUCUGGAGAUCAGAGUCUUUAUAUGUUGCCAAAAGGCCCUUUGAUUUUCACACUUUGCUUUAAAUUGCUGAUUAAUCAUAAACAACUUUUAUUUGCGUCUUUCUGAUGUAUAGAUGGCAUUCCACAAAAGUGUUCAGAUUGUUUAGUAAUUAAAGGACAAAUUUGUCUUCAUAAUUAUUACUUUCCUCAAAUCUCUUCACAUCUGCGAUACUGCACCCACCAGCGCAUUCUCUUUCAAAGGUGUCCCAUCCCAACACCAGUGAAAGUUGUAGCAAUUGUACUGCUAGAGUAUGCUGUGGACUGACUAUCAGUAGUACUUCAAAUGUCACAGUGAUGGGGUCCUCCUUGCCAAGUCAGCACUGGACUCACCUUAAAAAUCUAAUUUUAGGGUUUGCUUCCUUGAACCACUCCCGGCACCAGCCUUCCUCGUAGUUCCCUGGCAAACAGACUCCAAGAGGAGAAUCACACUCAUUCUUUCAGGAGGUUUAUUGGCACACUCUCAGCCAUGAUGCUCAUGAGGAAGAGAAGGAAGCAGAAUUUGACAGAAGUGAAAUUAAAGUACGGUUGCAACAAAGGUCUCAGCUGAUCCCCAGGAUCUGGUUUUGGGCUUUAGGGUAGUCCUGAAGCGAGGCAUGAGGCCAAGCUUUCCACCCCUGCACUGGCCAGUUGUUAGAAUUAUGAUGCAUUUCCCUUUGGCCAAGGCCUAUGCCAGGGGUGGAGCUCAGCCAGCACCAUUCCCAGGACGGGAGUGAGUAAGUCCAUUUUAAAGUGGGGGAUCAGUCAGCUCACUUUGGCCGUGGUUUGGGCUGUUAAGAGACUGAUCAAGUCUUAGGUGACUCUCCAGGCCAAAAGGAAUUUUAAGCCACCAUGUAGUGCUAUCUCCCUUACUUUGUAGCCUCUGAAUUAGGGGCACAUACAGAGCAAAAGUCAGAUUCCUGAUUAAUAAUCCAGGACCCUUUUUAAAAAAAUUUUAUCUCAUCAUGCUUACACUGUAUUCUGAUAUAUUGUGUACCAUAAAUAUAGGAAAGUACAGGGAAAACUGAAAUAAUUAUGUAAAAAUAUUCUAGCUUUUGCAGUUGCUAGGUAUACUUUAAUUUAGGCAAUAGACAUGCUUCUAAAACACCUAAGCAAGAAACACGUUCUGAAACAUCCAUCUCUACUAUCUAAAGAAUUUCGCUAAGAGAACCAAUAUAAAACAAACAAGCAAAAAUAAAUAUGAAACUGGAUGCUUUAGGAC
Molecule: long non-coding RNA, 2664 nt
Filed under: Homo sapiens (human)
Lineage: Eukaryota; Metazoa; Chordata; Mammalia; Primates; Hominidae
Description: HSALNT0306513
Source: RNAcentral